UAUAUAAAACAGACAUCUCAGAUUUGCCCAUGAAUGUGUAAUGAGUGCUUGGCAUACACUUCUACUUCACAGAAUCAUCCCUCCAGAACCUCACCACUGAGCCAUUUCCCCAGAAUGGUAUAACUUAAUGUGCUAAUAAGAGGAACGAGAAAAACAAGGUCAGACGUGCUCAUUCCUGAGUGAGGAAUACUGGAUCUGGAUACCUCCUUAGAUGCCUUAAAAUUUGUAUCAGAGAACAUCUUGCAUUGGGAACAGAGCUCCAUUGACUAGUAAACCAGGUAGUUGACAAAAUCACAAAAGGAAAUCU
This is a long non-coding RNA of Nothoprocta perdicaria, 307 nucleotides long. RefSeq lists it as uncharacterized. NCBI's taxonomy places the organism in Eukaryota, Metazoa, Chordata, Aves, Tinamiformes, Tinamidae. The transcript has 3 exons. The record is from RefSeq and is a predicted model, not a curated record.